UGCAGUCGAGCGGUAGAGAGAAGCUUGCUUCUCUUGAGAGCGGCGGACGGGUCAGUAAUGCCUAGGAAUCUGCCUGGUAGUGGGGGAUAACGUUCGGAAACGGACGCUAAUACCGCAUACGUCCUACGGGAGAAAGCAGGGGACCUUCGGGCCUUGCGCUAUCAGAUGAGCCUAGGUCGGAUUAGCUAGUUGGUGGGGUAAUGGCUCACCAAGGCGACGAUCCGUAACUGGUCUGAGAGGAUGAUCAGUCACACUGGAACUGAGACACGGUCCAGACUCCUACGGGAGGCAGCAGUGGGGAAUAUUGGACAAUGGGCGAAAGCCUGAUCCAGCCAUGCCGCGUGUGUGAAGAAGGUCUUCGGAUUGUAAAGCACUUUAAGUUGGGAGGGAGGGCAGUAAAUUAAUACUUUGCUGUUUUGACAUUACCGACAGAAUAAGCACCGGCUAACUCUGUGCCAGCAGCCGCGGUAAUACAGAGGGUGCAAGCGUUAAUCGGAAUUACUGGGCGUAAAGCGCGCGUAGGUGGUUAGUUAAGUUGGAUGUGAAAUCCCCGGGCUCAACCUGGGAACUGCAUUCAAAACUGACUGACUAGAGUAUGGUAGAGGGUGGUGGAAUUUCCUGUGUAGCGGUGAAAUGCGUAGAUAUAGGAAGGAACACCAGUGGCGAAGGCGACCACCUGGACUGAUACUGACACUGAGGUGCGAAAGCGUGGGGAGC
Molecule: ribosomal RNA, 717 nt
Filed under: uncultured bacterium
Lineage: Bacteria
Description: bacterial SSU rRNA
Rfam family: Bacterial small subunit ribosomal RNA
Source: RNAcentral